CUUUUGAUGAUUUGUUUAAAUUUUAACUCCAGAAAAAAUAUUUUUCAUAAACGGAUAAAGUUUUUUCCAUUUCUGGAUCAGUGAUAGUUAGUGUGGUAGAAAGACUCAAGGCAACCUGAAGGCAAGCUGCAAUGGGUCCCCUGCCUUCCACCCUUGCGCUGUCUCCUGGUCCUAGCAGACAGCCUCCUAUGUGCAAAAGUAGCAUUUUAUUUGCAUCUUUCCAUGGACUUUGGAAAACAAGAGUGCACUAGGUUCACAUUUACAAAAGUCCAUCAUUAAUAAGGCCUGAAUACAUUCUUUAAAAAAAUUAAAUUUAGGAUUCUGUAGAAUUGAGCUGCAGUCACCCAGUGUUUGUAGUGCAGAAGUUGCUUCAAAUCUUGGCCAACAAUAAGCCUGCACUAAGUGGCUGAAGUAAGGAGAGUUACUAAACACCUAUAUUUUUUAUUUAUUUGCCUCUAGCUUUCCAUCCCUUUCCAGCAGGGUAAGCCUUCCAGAUUAUAUUGCAGUCAGUCAUACAAGUUCUGAAAAUAAUGUUACAAUCUGAUCUUCAAGUCAGCAAGUCAAGAGUUUAAUGAUAAAUGCAAAGCUUUUUGAAUGAUUUCCAGGAUUGUUUUACUUGUCUAAUAAUGAACUAUAGCAAGCAUAACUAUUUCAUUACAUUUUUUUGAGAAACAGAGGGGGAGGGUUGCCUUAUCAGGCCUGAGUUAAAGCACACCUGCCAAAACACAGAUUUCAGUAGCUAUGAAGAGAACAAAGCAUGAUUAUACUGCCAACAUUGGCAUGUCUGCAACUGAUUUAACUGGAGCUAUGACCCUGAACACAAAAGCUUCAACUUUAGAGGCAACUUGAGGGGAGUAUUUUUGUGAUUUUACAUGCAUACAGUUAAAGAUAUGGCACUUACUUGCAGCAAAAGCAAUGUAUGUUGGAAGAAAGCAAAGAGGGGUUACAAUCAGAAGUUGUCAGAAAGGCUAAAACUGGACUCUGCUUUUUGGCAAGACGCAGCCACUGGGAACCUUGGUGAGAGCAAGUUCCAUGAAGAAACCCAACUGGCAAAGUUCCAAGAUGGAGCCAGAGCAAAGAAAUUUACAGCCACAGCAGUAAAACAGUUCCCCUGUGACUUAAGAUGUGACUAUAUAUUACAAGAAAAAUGGGGCAAUCACUGGGGGAGGGAAGCAAGUAAAGCCAAAAUAACAAUCAGAGCAGGAUUUUAUUUUUAAGAGUCAGGCAAGGAGACAAAAGGGGCAAAAUGCAAUCCUCUCUAAAUAAAAACUAAUAUAUCAGCAUUAAAGUUGUGCAUUUAAACAUAACCUUUGAUUCUCAUACCAAUGGCAACAGUAGUGCUAAAUUAAAGUGUGUUCCAGUAAGCAUUAGUGUUGUAUUGUUGUUCUGAUAGUGAACUAAUACUUGGAAGUUAGCUUUAUUGCAUGUGACAUGCUGUUUUAACUAAAGAUCUUUGCUUUUCAGUGUCAGUACUAUGAGGAAAUACCAUAUACUUGAACACCCUUUAUUUUAAAUUAUGUAUAUGUGCAUUUUGAAUUUCUCUUCACUUGUUAGUAUCUACACUAGAUGUAAAUGAAGGUCAAAGACACUGCAACAUUUAAAAGGUGAAUAAAUCAAAUUCAGUCUAUA
Molecule: long non-coding RNA, 1629 nt
Organism: Gavialis gangeticus (Gharial)
Lineage: Eukaryota; Metazoa; Chordata; Crocodylia; Gavialidae
Exons: 2
Source: RefSeq, a predicted model, not a curated record